CUCCGGUUGAUCCCGCCGGACCCGACUGCUAUCGGAUUGGGAUUUAGCCAUGUUAGUUGUGCGUUCCUUGGCUACAGGGGACGCAGCAUACGGCUCAGUAACACGUAGUCAACCUGCCCUGGAGACGUGGACAAACCCGGGAAACUGGGGCCUAUCCGCGAUAGAUGACCUCAUCUGGAAGGAGUGGUCGUCCAAAGGGCGGCACGGGUAUGCUCCGUGCCUUUCGCUCCAGGAUGGGACUGCGGCCGAUCAGGCUGUUGGCGGGGUAAUGGCCCACCAAACCUGUAACCGGUACGGGCUUUGAGAGAAGGAGCCCGGAGAUGGACACUGAGACAAGGGUCCAGGCCCUACGGGGCGCAUCAGGCGCGAAAACUUCGCAAUGCGCGAAAGCGUGACGAGGCUAGUCCGAGUGCUUCCUGCUAAAGGGAGCUUUUCUCGGCUGUAAAUAGGCCGGGGAAUAAGGGGAGGGCAAGUCUGGUGUCAGCCGCCGCGGUAAUACCAGCUCCUCGAGUGGUCGGGACGAUUAUUGGGCCUAAAGCACCCGUAGCCUGUUCUGUAAGUCCUCUGUUAAAUCCAGUCGCUCAACGGCUGGCCCGCAGAGGAUACUGCAAGACUAGGAGGCGGGAGAGGCGGACGGUACUCCGCGUGUAGGGGUAAAAUCCUUUGAUCCGCGGAAGACCACCAGUGGCGAAGGCGGUCCGCCAGAACGCGCUCGACGGUGAGGGGUGAAAGCUGGGGGAGCGAACCGGAUUAGAUACCCGGGUAGUCCCAGCCGUAAACGAUGCGAGCUAGAUGAUUCGAUCGCAGUUCGCGAUCGAAGUGUCGCAGGGAAGCCGUUAAGCUCGCCGCCUGGGGAGUACGGUCGCAAGGCUGAAUCGUAGAGCAGAUUUUCUGCCUACG
Molecule: ribosomal RNA, 900 nt
Filed under: uncultured archaeon
Lineage: Archaea
Description: bacterial SSU rRNA
Rfam family: Archaeal small subunit ribosomal RNA
Source: RNAcentral